Molecule: microRNA, 22 nt
Filed under: Drosophila virilis
Lineage: Eukaryota; Metazoa; Arthropoda; Insecta; Diptera; Drosophilidae
Description: dvi-miR-9699-5p
Source: miRBase by way of RNAcentral
GUACUCUACGCUUUUGGGAACG